Molecule: ribosomal RNA, 629 nt
Filed under: uncultured archaeon
Lineage: Archaea
Description: bacterial SSU rRNA
Rfam family: Archaeal small subunit ribosomal RNA
Source: RNAcentral
UAAUAUCGGAUAACGCAUAUGUGCUGGAAUGCUUUAUGCGUAAAACGGAUUCGUCCGCCCAAGGAUGGGUCUGCGGCCUAUCAGGUAGUAGUGGGUGUAAUGUACCUACUAGCCAACAACGGGUACGGGUUGUGAGAGCAAGAGCCCGGAGAUGGAUUCUGAGACAUGAAUCCAGGCCCUACGGGGCGCAGCAGGCGCGAAAACUUUACAAUGCGGGAAACCGUGAUAAGGGAACACCGAGUGCCAGCAUCAUAUGCUGGCUGUCCAGAUGUGUAAACUACAUCUGUUAGCAAGGGCCGGGCAAGACCGGUGCCAGCCGCCGCGGUAACACCGGCGGCCCGAGUGGUGACCGUUAUUAUUGGGUCUAAAGGGUCCGUAGCCGGUUUGGUCAGUCCUCCGGGAAAUCUGAUAGCUUAACUGUUAGGCUUUCGGGGGAUACUGCCAGGCUUGGAACCGGGAGAGGUAAGAGGUACUACAGGGGUAGGAGUGAAAUCUUGUAAUCCCUGUGAGACCACCUGUGGCGAAGGCGUCUUACCAGAACGGGUUCGACGGUGAGGGACGAAAGCUGGGGGCACGAACCGGAUUAGAUACCCGGGUAUUCCCAUCCGUAAACUAUGCUCGCUAUGUGU